GUGGGGAAUAUUGGACAAUGGGCGAAAGCCUGAUCCAGCCAUGCCGCGUGUGUGAAGAAGGUCUUCGGAUUGUAAAGCACUUUAAGUUGGGAGGAAGGGCAGUAAGUUAAUACCUUGCUGUUUUGACGUUACCGACAGAAUAAGCACCGGCUAACUUCGUGCCAGCAGCCGCGGUAAUACGAAGGGUGCAAGCGUUAAUCGGAAUUACUGGGCGUAAAGCGCGCGUAGGUGGUUUUGUAAGUUGGAGGUGAAAUCCCCGGGCUCAACCUUGGAACUGCCUCCAAAACUGCAUGACUAGAGUACGGUAGAGUGUAGUGGAAUUUCCUGUGUAGCGGUGAAAUGCGUAGAUAUAGGAAGGAACACCAGUGGCGAAGGCGACUACCUGGACUGAUACUGACACUGAGGUGCGAAAGCGUGGGGAGCAAACAGGAUUAGAAACCCGAGUAGUCC
Molecule: ribosomal RNA, 450 nt
Filed under: uncultured bacterium
Lineage: Bacteria
Description: partial 16S ribosomal RNA
Rfam family: Bacterial small subunit ribosomal RNA
Source: RNAcentral